RNAcentral lists this transfer RNA (64 nucleotides) under Alulatettix yunnanensis. Its description in RNAcentral is "tRNA-Pro". Lineage: Eukaryota; Metazoa; Arthropoda; Insecta; Orthoptera; Tetrigidae. The record is from RNAcentral.
CAGGGGGUAGUUUAAAAAAUAUUAAAUUUGGGGUUUAAAGAUAGGGUAAUAACUCUUCCUCUGA